UGACAGAUCCUCUUAAAUUUUAAAGCCA
Molecule: non-coding RNA, 28 nt
Filed under: Mus musculus (house mouse)
Lineage: Eukaryota; Metazoa; Chordata; Mammalia; Rodentia; Muridae
Source: RNAcentral